Molecule: ribosomal RNA, 470 nt
Filed under: uncultured bacterium
Lineage: Bacteria
Description: bacterial SSU rRNA
Rfam family: Bacterial small subunit ribosomal RNA
Source: RNAcentral
ACUCCUACGGGAGGCAGCAGUGGGGAAUUUUGGACAAUGGGCGCAAGCCUGAUCCAGCCAUGCCGCGUGCGGGAAGAAGGCCUUCGGGUUGUAAACCGCUUUUGUCAGGGAAGAAAAGGUUCUGGCUAAUACCUGGGACUCAUGACGGUACCUGAAGAAUAAGCACCGGCUAACUACGUGCCAGCAGCCGCGGUAAUACGUAGGGUGCAAGCGUUAAUCGGAAUUACUGGGCGUAAAGCGUGCGCAGGCGGUUAUGCAAGACAGAGGUGAAAUCCCCGGGCUCAACCUGGGAACUGCCUUUGUGACUGCAUGGCUAGAGUACGGUAGAGGGGGAUGGAAUUCCGCGUGUAGCAGUGAAAUGCGUAGAUAUGCGGAGGAACACCGAUGGCGAAGGCAAUCCCCUGGACCUGUACUGACGCUCAUGCACGAAAGCGUGGGGAGCAAACAGGAUUAGAUACCCUGGUAGGCGU